AUGGCAAUUGUACACACAUCUUAUACAGAGUGUGCACAUGCUUUGAUUGAACUAACACUACAAAUGAGUGUUCGUGCAGGCCAUCCUAGCCAGGAAACGCCUGCAAUUCAGCAAGUCGCUCCCGUCAAGGAAAACCUACAGUCUCUGUUACUCACCAACUUACUACGCCUGCAAAAGCUAGACUUUUCGUUGGGAAAGGAAACAGAUGCAACAUUCUAAGACGUAUCGAAAAUACGACACACUUAGUUUGUGGCCAAAAAUCGCAGUACACGACACGUACGACAGUACGACUCGAACAACUGCACAAAUAAUGCAAGCGAAUGCAUCACGUCGUACAUUACUAAUUUGCGUACAAUAGUACUGCACGAAUGGUAUGGACAAUAUAAAUCGGAAACAAGAAACAGACUGUGUCUUCAGACUGCCUUGUCCAUAUGGAAUGAGANAGUAUGCUAACUCAUUGCGGUGUAAUCACAAUAUUAACACACCAACGGACUCUCACACAUUUUGGUCGCAAAGGGCAAUUUGCACAAGUCCUAUUCGCACGACCGUCCUAUGCGCUUCCUAUGCGCAUCCUAUUACUGCCAAACACAUUAUUAGCAUCAUGAUCACCCAAGCUGGUAN
Molecule: long non-coding RNA, 621 nt
Filed under: Volvox carteri
Lineage: Eukaryota; Viridiplantae; Chlorophyta; Chlorophyceae; Chlamydomonadales; Volvocaceae
Description: long non-coding RNA (VCAR_LNC004212)
Source: RNAcentral